Molecule: RNA transcript, 2460 nt
Organism: Lolium rigidum
Lineage: Eukaryota; Viridiplantae; Streptophyta; Magnoliopsida; Poales; Poaceae
Exons: 3
Source: RefSeq, a predicted model, not a curated record
UUGCAUUGUCAGAACAUGGCUUAAAACUAUGCUCUGCUAAUUGGUUGUCUUUGACCUUCUAUGAAAGUGCUCAGUAAUUUCCUACAAAUUUGGAAGAUCAUUUAUUACUAAAGAUGUCAAACUGAAUCAGUUGUAUUUGAAAGAUCAUUUAUCACUACACAAUGAUUGGUACAUGAGCAUCCUAAUUAUAGCUAAUUAUUUUGGUGGUCAAACCAGUGUGUAAAUAAGCGAAUUUUAACAUUCCCUUAAAUUUUCUGUGCGCCUUUCUAAAACCAGUGGUAUUUACCGAGAUACUGGAUUUUAUGUUAUUUUAAUGUUUUGCAUACACUGCGAUAUUAUUUUUCUGCAUUUCGCCCUGCUUGUGUUAUAGGAUUAAUUGGUGAUCUUAUAUGAAUUUAUUGUGGUUCCUCUGUUUCUCGACAGGUACAUGAUGCAUGUCCUACUAUCUUCAAUAUCAGUGAGAAUUGCAUGCCCAUAAGGUUUUCUUAUUCGAUAAUGUGGUUUGGUGUUUGAUACUUGGUAACAACUAAUGUUUUCAUGGUCUACUGGCUAGAUGAGUUUACUCCCUUUCUGGGAAGUGGGAACAUGUGGUAUCAAUAUUUAGCUGAACCCGCAUAUUGUCUCUACUAAAGUUUCUGUAUUGGUUAUCCUUCAUUAAGGUAUUUUGACUCAAUAGAAGCAGGACCCUGUGACUUUUGUCCUUGCUGAUGACAAGUCACAGUGAGAUAUUUUUGUCAUCUAAGAUUUCUAUAUGGUUACGUUUAUGUUCAUAGGUAGGCUCACAGAUCCCCCUUUUUGUUUUCUAUUUAACCACGGAGACCGUCUUAAAGGUCUGCUAAGAGAUGAUUGCUUGGACUAUUUUUACAAUAAAAAUAUACUCUGUUUUAGAUUAUGGUCCACUAAAACUGCCAUGCAUUCUAAUUAUUUUAUGAAUGUCCAUCCAACUAACUAGAUUGCUUACUUUUUUUUCACAUGUAUGGAUUUCUUACUUGGAUGUACAUGAUGCAAGAACUCUCCUUUGACUACGGGUAUUGCGUCUACAGGUGGAUUUAUAGAAAUUUGGAUUUAUCUUUUCCUUCGAGUUGAGAAUUUUAUCAUAUUAUAUAUAUCUUCCGUUGGCCAUAUGUUUGAUCCUACACAAGAGGGCCACACUGAAUUUCACAACAAUCAUGUAGGAUGGAAACAAAAUGCCUUUGCAUUGCUACAUCAUGUUUGGUUCUGGGGACUCAUCAUUGUAUCUUGAGGGAAAAGGUUUAGAAAACCAUUAAAACUGAAUCUUAGGUUUGCUUCAAAGACUAUUUUCACCAGAUCAACAAUUGGAAGAUUUUUUUAACCUCCCCUUGCAAGAUUUUCAAUAUGGUUCUACUAUUUCCGCAUGAAGCUUAUUACUUAAUGAAAUAUACCGUUUAUUAUGUACAAAGAUUGAUUGACAUCAGCUCUCUGAUGUACAGGUAUGCAUAACAGCUUACAAGCUUUAUAGGUAUGCACAACAACCUUCAGAUCAAACAUCUCAACUGUACUUUCAAAAUUGGCAUGCCUCCUAUUAUGUUUUUGAACUGGCUGAUCUGAAAGUAACGACUAAUGCAAGCAUGACCGGAGGAUAGUCGCUCUUAGGACGCAUCCAAACCGUCUGUUUGCGGUACAACUAAGGUAUUUACAUUGUUGGAUGCAAGCUCGAUCAAACGGCCAGAAAGCAACUCUAACAAGUAUCUCAGGAAUUACGUUAGAAUUUAACAUAUUUAGAGCUCAAACAAAAAUUAUGCUUAAUUUCUUUCCACCUAAAUGAACAAGCAUGGCAUUUUCUACCAACUUAAUAAGAGCUUAGAGAUGAAUAUUAGAUUUUGGCUGAAAUGUUAUUUUUGUGCUAUAGUUGUUUGAGAAGUAAUUAUUUCCUGGUUUUCUCUGCAUUAGAAAAUCAAGAAGUUAAUUCAACAAUGCCCUAUUUCAAAUAAAGUAUGUUCCUCCUAUCCUCAAGUUAAUCAUUUUAAUCUUCUUCCUUUUGUUUCUAUUCUGUAGGCAUGAAACAAACACUGAGUUCGAGACACCUUCAAUUAUUUCAGAUCUGGAUUAUUUUUAGUGAUGACCAAAUUCCACAAAUAAAGUAUGUUCCUAUGAUCCUCAAAUUUAUCAUUUUAACCUUCUUCUUUAUUUAUUUUCUGCAGGAACGAAACACACACUUGGUGGACACUGAUGUAGCCUGCUAUGUGGAUUCUUAAAUAGAUUUAUACAUGAAUGCUAAAGCUCCAUGGUGAAUCAUGGUUUUGUCUUUGAUUACUGCUUCCAAUCAUGGUAUAGCUGAAGUAAGAUGUUGAUUGUGCAGUAGCGCGAGUUGAGGAACCAAGUGAAAACUUUAUUUAUAAAACCAAAAAUAUUAAAUGAGGUAUAUUUGUUACAAACUAGCAUCCGUAUUCAUCCGGUGUAACAAUCAAAGAGAGGUAUUUGUUGUUUUUGUUAAGUUCA